GGAGCGUCUCUGCCCGGCCGCCCAUCGUCUGAGAUGUGGGGAGAGCCUCUGCCCCGCCGCCCCGCCUGGGAUGUGAGGAGCGCCUCUACCCGGCCGCGACCCCGUCUGGGAGGUGAGGAGCGUCUCUGCCCGGCCGCCCCGUCUGAGAAGUGAGGAGACCCUCCGCCUCGCAGCCGCCCCGUCUGAAAAGGUGGCUGUCAAUAGAUUGGCCCAAAAGGAAGAACAAGGAAAAGGGCACCAAAGAAGAUAAAUGAAAAUACAAGGGUAUAAGCUGAACUGUGGACAUCCUGCCACUGGGAAUUAAGUUAAAGUAGAAAAAAGCAGAAUGUAAUGGGGAGUCCCCUCACAAGAAGAAUUUGGAUCAAAGCAUGGCAGUGAGGGGAAGCAUUGAGCAGGAAACCAUGAGACCAAAAUUUAAAAGCCAGAGCUUCCUGACUCCAAAAUCCUCUUUCUUUCCUGUUAUCCUGCUGAAGUGCCGAUUUCAAAUGAAGACUGACUUGAUCCUGAACAUAACCUACAAGAAGAAAGGGACCACAGGCUAUACACAAAGCAUGGUGCCGGCAUCUGCUUCUGGUGAGGGCCUCAGGAAGCUUACAAUCAUCUUGGAAGGUGAAGAGGAAGCCAGCGCAUCACAUGGCAAGAGAGGGAGCAAGAGAGAAGGGGACAGUGCCGCACACUUUAAAAAAAAACCUUAUCUCACGAGGCAGAACUAACUGAGUGAGAGUUCACUCAUCACCAAGGGAAUGGUGCUGAGUCAUUCAUGAGGGA
This 768-nucleotide long non-coding RNA is filed under the name Homo sapiens (human). RNAcentral's name for it is "long intergenic non-protein coding RNA 1160". The record is from RNAcentral. Lineage: Eukaryota; Metazoa; Chordata; Mammalia; Primates; Hominidae.